This 462-nucleotide ribosomal RNA is filed under the name uncultured bacterium. Its description in RNAcentral is "partial 16S ribosomal RNA". It matches the Rfam family "Bacterial small subunit ribosomal RNA", at positions 28 to 507 of the family's 1533-position model. The record is from RNAcentral.
GACGAACGCUGGCGGCGUGCUUAACACAUGCAAGUCGAGCGGAAAGGCCCUUCGGGGUACUCUAGCGGCGAACGGGUGAGUAACACGUGAGUAACCUGCCCCAGACUUUGGGAUAACCCUCGGAAACGGGGGCUAAUACCGGAUACGACACAGCUUCGCAUGGGGUCUUUGUGGAAAGUUUUUCGGUUUGGGAUGGGCUCGCGGCCUAUCAGCUUGUUGGUGGGGUGAUGGCCUAACAAGGCGACGACGGGUAGCCGGCCUGAGAGGGCGACCGGCCACACUGGGACUGAGACACGGCCCAGAAUCCUACGGGAGGCAGCAGUGGGGAAUAUUGCACAAUGGGCGGAAGCCUGAUGCAGCGACGCCGCGUGAGGGAUGACGGCCUUCGGGUUGUAAACCUCUUUCAGCAGGGACGAAGCGUAAGUGACGGUACCUGCAGAAGAAGCGCCGGCCAACUACGUG